UCUAGAACUCGAGAUAUGGGCUGAACACUGAACAGUGUUUGGGCUGCAGGACAGAUUCGGACUUCUUCUUUGUUGCUACAAUUUGGACUUGAAAACGGCCUUAUUAAAUCUUGGACUCCUCAUGAAAGUUGUAGGCCUAUGUCUUAGCUUUGCAUC
Non-coding RNA from Populus trichocarpa (black cottonwood), 156 nucleotides. The record is from Rfam. NCBI's taxonomy places the organism in Eukaryota, Viridiplantae, Streptophyta, Magnoliopsida, Malpighiales, Salicaceae.